GAUGAUUGAUGAUGAUGAAAGAUGAUUA
This 28-nucleotide small RNA is filed under the name Bombyx mori (domestic silkworm). Its description in RNAcentral is "piRNA piR-bmo-1578583". Lineage: Eukaryota; Metazoa; Arthropoda; Insecta; Lepidoptera; Bombycidae. The record is from RNAcentral.